Molecule: ribosomal RNA, 440 nt
Filed under: uncultured Propionibacteriaceae bacterium
Lineage: Bacteria; Bacillati; Actinomycetota; Actinomycetes; Propionibacteriales; Propionibacteriaceae
Description: bacterial SSU rRNA
Rfam family: Bacterial small subunit ribosomal RNA
Source: RNAcentral
CCUACGGGGGGCUGCAGUGGGGAAUAUUGCACAAUGGGCGGAAGCCUGAUGCAGCAACGCCGCGUGCGGGAUGAAGGCCUUCGGGUUGUAAACCGCUUUCACUGCCGACGAAUGUGACGGUAGGCGGAGAAGAAGCACCGGCUAACUACGUGCCAGCAGCCGCGGUGAUACGUAGGGUGCGAGCGUUGUCCGGAUUUAUUGGGCGUAAAGAGCUCGUAGGCGGUUUGUUGCGUCGGAAGUGAAAACCCACGGCUUAACUGUGGGCUUGCUUUCGAUACGGGCAGACUUGAGGGAUGUAGGGGAGAACGGAAUUCCUGGUGGAGCGGUGGAAUGCGCAGAUAUCAGGAGGAACACCAGUGGCGAAGGCGGUUCUCUGGACAUUUCCUGACGCUGAGGAGCGAAAGCGUGGGGAGCAAACAGGCUUAGAUACCCCUGUAGUC